UACAUAUUAGCUCAUUGGUAGAGCAUUCGACUCUUAAUCGACUGGUAGCAGGUUCAAAUCCUGUAUAUGUGC
RNAcentral lists this transfer RNA (72 nucleotides) under Roseofilum reptotaenium AO1-A. It matches the Rfam family "tRNA". Rfam says of the family: Transfer RNA (tRNA) molecules are approximately 80 nucleotides in length. Their secondary structure includes four short double-helical elements and three loops (D, anti-codon, and T loops). Lineage: Bacteria; Bacillati; Cyanobacteriota; Cyanophyceae; Desertifilales; Desertifilaceae. The record is from Rfam by way of RNAcentral. RNAcentral also lists the same sequence under 6 other names.